AGGUGUUGCAUUUUCUACAAAUCGAAUGCAAGACAUGCCACCAGCAGAGAUUUAUUGCGAUACUCGCUUUAUUAUGGUGAUCUGGAACCAAACCUGCAAUACCUCUGAGCAUAAAGAAGUCUUUUCCAGAAUCCUACGUGGAGGAUGUCUACCUGUCUCAUUGAUCAGAAUAGUGCCAGUUACUCAUGUCUAAGUCAGUCACUGGCAAGGAAAAUGGAGUCACCAUUUUUUAAUGAAAUGGAUCAAAAGUCACCUUCCUGUAGCUAAGAAGGACCUAGCUUCCGGGAAAUGUAUGGUGUUAGAUUUCUGGACAAAGAAGAUACCUAUUAGCAAAGGAAAAGUAGUGUGGCUUCAGUCUGGAUCCUGAAACAGCCUGGGCCAGGGGUUUCAGAAAAGAAAUUAUGGAGCUGAAUCAUCAGUUAAC
This is a long non-coding RNA of Molossus molossus (Pallas's mastiff bat), 424 nucleotides long. RefSeq lists it as uncharacterized. Lineage: Eukaryota; Metazoa; Chordata; Mammalia; Chiroptera; Molossidae. The transcript is spliced from 3 exons. The record is from RefSeq and is a predicted model, not a curated record.